RNAcentral lists this ribosomal RNA (406 nucleotides) under uncultured bacterium. RNAcentral describes it as "partial 16S ribosomal RNA". It matches the Rfam family "Bacterial small subunit ribosomal RNA", at positions 30 to 526 of the family's 1533-position model. The record is from RNAcentral.
AUUGAACGCUGGCGGCAGGCCUAACACAUGCAAGUCGAACGAGUGGCGGACGGGUGAGUAAUGUCUGGGAAACUGCCUGAUGGAGGGGGAUAACUACUGGAAACGGUAGCUAAUACCGCAUACCAUCGGAUGUGCCCAGAUGGGAUUAGCUAGUAGGUGGGGUAAAGGCUCACCUGGUCGACGAUCCCUAGCUGGUCUGAGAGGAUGACCAGCAACACUGGAGCUGAGACACGGGCCAGACGCCUAAGGGAGGCAGCAGUGGGGAAUAUUGCACAAUGGGAGCAAGCCUGAUGCAGCCAUGCCGCGGAUAUGAAGAAGGCCUUCGGGUUGUAAAGUACUUUCAGCGGGUAGGCGUUACCCGCAGAAGAAGCACCGGCUAACUCCGUGCCAGCAGCCGCGGUAAUAC